RNAcentral lists this transfer RNA (77 nucleotides) under Candidatus Onthousia faecigallinarum. RNAcentral's name for it is "tRNA-Pro". It matches the Rfam family "tRNA". Rfam says of the family: Transfer RNA (tRNA) molecules are approximately 80 nucleotides in length. Lineage: Bacteria; Bacillati; Bacillota; Bacilli. The record is from RNAcentral.
CGGGAAAUGGCUCAGCUUGGUAGAGCGCUUGCUUCGGGAGCAAGAGGUCACCAGUUCAAAUCUGGUUUUCCCGACCA